GAUGAACGCUGGCGGCGUGCCUAAUACAUGCAAGUCGAACGCAUAGCGAAAGGUGCUUGCCCCUUUCAAGUGAGUGGCGAACGGGUGAGUAACACGUGGACAACCUGCCUCAAGGCUGGGGAUAACAUUUGGAAACAGAUGCUAAUACCGAAUAAAACUUAGUGUCGCAUGACACAAAGUUAAAAGGCGCUUCGGCGUCACCUAGAGAUGGAUCCGCGGUGCAUUAGUUAGUUGGUGGGGUAAAGGCCUACCAAGACAAUGAUGCAUAGCCGAGUUGAGAGACCGAUCGGCCACAUUGGGACUGAGACACGGCCCAAACUCCUACGGGAGGCUGCAGUAGGGAAUCUUCCACAAUGGGCGAAAGCCUGAUGGAGCAACGCCGCGUGUGUGAUGAAGGCUUUCGGGUCGUAAAGCACUGUUGUAUGGGAAGAACAGCUAGAAUAGGAAAUGAUUUUAGUUUGACGGUACCAUACCAGAAAGGGACGGCUAAAUACGUG
This 497-nucleotide ribosomal RNA is filed under the name uncultured bacterium. Its description in RNAcentral is "partial 16S ribosomal RNA". It matches the Rfam family "Bacterial small subunit ribosomal RNA", at positions 28 to 507 of the family's 1533-position model. The record is from RNAcentral.